UCUCCGUAGGUGAACCUGCGGAGGGAUCAUUACUGAGUGAGGGCUUCGGUCCGACCUCCAACCCUUUGUGAACCAAACUUGUUGCUUCGGGGGCGACCCUGCCGCUUCGGCGGUGCGGCGCCCCCGGAGGCCAUUAAACACUGCAUCAUUGCGUCGGAGUUAAAGUAAAUUACACAAAACUUUCAACCACGGAUCUCUUGUUUCGAGCAUCUAUGAAGAACGCAGC
This 226-nucleotide unclassified non-coding RNA is filed under the name uncultured fungus. Its description in RNAcentral is "sequence contains ITS1, 5.8S rRNA gene". The record is from RNAcentral. Lineage: Eukaryota; Fungi.